GCGUAAGCGCACGCAGGCGGUCUGUCAAGUCGGAUGUGAAAUCCCCGGGCUCAACCUGGGAACUGCAUUCGAAACUGGCAGGCUAGAGUCUUGUAGAGGGGGGUAGAAUUCCAGGUGUAGCGGUGAAAUGCGUAGAGAUCUGGAGGAAUACCGGUGGCGAAGGCGGCCCCCUGGACAAAGACUGACGCUCAGGUGCGAAAGCGUGGGGAGCAAACAGGAUUAGAUACCCUGGUAGUCCACGCCGUAAACGAUGUCGACUUGGAGGUUGUGCCCUUGAGGCGUGGCUUCCGGAGCUAACGCGUUAAGUCGACCGCCUGGGGAGUACGGCCGCAAGGUUAAAACUCAAAUGAAUUGACGGGGGCCCGCACAAGCGGUGGAGCAUGUGGUUUAAUUCGAUGCAACGCGAAGAACCUUACCUACUCUUGACAUCCAGAGAACUUUCCAGAGAUGGAUUGGUGCCUUCGGGAACUCUGAGACAGGUGCUGCAUGGCUGUCGUCAGCUCGUGUUGUGAAAUGUUGGGUUAAGUCCCGCAACGAGCGCAACCCUUAUCCUUUGUUGC
This 560-nucleotide ribosomal RNA is filed under the name Klebsiella aerogenes. RNAcentral's name for it is "bacterial SSU rRNA". It matches the Rfam family "Bacterial small subunit ribosomal RNA", at positions 558 to 1118 of the family's 1533-position model. Lineage: Bacteria; Pseudomonadati; Pseudomonadota; Gammaproteobacteria; Enterobacterales; Enterobacteriaceae. The record is from RNAcentral.